CUUUCGGCUCGCUGUAAGUAUUACAGCAAGCUUGCCCAUCGGAAAGCUGCUUGGUGUUAUAUCUUACAGUGAGCUGAGGG
Culex quinquefasciatus (southern house mosquito) is the source of this 80-nucleotide microRNA precursor. It matches the Rfam family "mir-971 microRNA precursor family". The record is from Rfam. Lineage: Eukaryota; Metazoa; Arthropoda; Insecta; Diptera; Culicidae.